CAGCAGCCACGGGAAUACGUAGGGUGCAAGCGUUAAUCGGAAUUACUGGGCGUAAAGCGUGCGCAGGCGGUUUUAUAAGACUGAUGUGAAAUCCCGGGGCUCAACCUGGGAACUGCAUUGGAGACUGUAAGGCUAGAGUGUGUCAGAGGGGGGUAGAAUUCCACGUGUAGCAGUGAAAUGCGUAGAUAUGUGGAGGAAUACCGAUGGCGAAGGCAGCCCCCUGGGAUAACACUGACGCUCAUGCACGAAAGCGUGGGGAGCAAACAGGAUUAGAUACCCCAGUAGUCCCUGUCUCUUAUAC
This 301-nucleotide ribosomal RNA is filed under the name uncultured bacterium. RNAcentral's name for it is "partial 16S ribosomal RNA". It matches the Rfam family "Bacterial small subunit ribosomal RNA", at positions 509 to 807 of the family's 1533-position model. The record is from RNAcentral.